UACGUAGGGUGCGAGCGUUAAUCGGAAUUACUGGGCGUAAAGCGUGCGCAGGCGGUUCGUUGUGUCUGAUGUGAAAGCCCCGGGCUCAACCUGGGAAUGGCAUUGGAAACUGGCGAGCUGGAGUGUGGCAGAGGGGGGUGGAAUUCCGCGUGUAGCAGUGAAAUGCGUAGAGAUGCGGAGGAACACCGAUGGCGAAGGCAGCCCCCUGGGCCAACACUGACGCUCAGGCACGAAAGCGUGGGGAGCAAAUGGG
Molecule: ribosomal RNA, 253 nt
Filed under: uncultured bacterium
Lineage: Bacteria
Description: partial 16S ribosomal RNA
Rfam family: Bacterial small subunit ribosomal RNA
Source: RNAcentral